RNAcentral lists this ribosomal RNA (397 nucleotides) under uncultured bacterium. Its description in RNAcentral is "partial 16S ribosomal RNA". It matches the Rfam family "Bacterial small subunit ribosomal RNA", at positions 360 to 774 of the family's 1533-position model. The record is from RNAcentral.
AAUAUUGCACAAUGGGGGAAACCCUGAUGCAGCGACGCCGCGUUAGCGAAGAAGGCCUUCGGGUCGUAAGGCGCUGUCCUAAGGGAAGAAACGGACUGUACCUUAGGAUGAAGCCCCGGCAAACUACGUGCCAGCAGCCGCGGUAAUACGAAGGGUGCGAGCGUUGUCCGGAAUUACUGGGCGUAAAGGGUACGUAGGCGGCUAUAUAAGUCAGGUGUGAAAUACCAGUGCUUAACACUGGAAUUGCAUUUGAAACUGUGUAGCUUGAGGGCAGGAGAGGAAAGUGGAAUUCCUAGUGUAGCGGUGAAAUGCGUAGAGAUUAGGAGGAACACCAGUGGCGAAGGCGACUUUCUGGACUGUAACUGACGCUGAGGUACGAAAGCGUGGGUAGCGAACA